Syngnathus acus (greater pipefish) is the source of this 685-nucleotide long non-coding RNA. RefSeq lists it as uncharacterized. The record is from RefSeq and is a predicted model, not a curated record. Lineage: Eukaryota; Metazoa; Chordata; Actinopteri; Syngnathiformes; Syngnathidae. The transcript is spliced from 2 exons.
CUGCUAGCUUAAUACUAAUUAGCAUCCAAGACUGGAUAGAUGGAUAGAUUUGGUUCAAGUUAAAAUAGCAUUGAUUUAGCCCUUCAACAUGCUCGAACAAACUGAUCGAAUGACAUAAAGGGGACGAUUUUCUCAUGAACCAAAAAGCUUUGCAGCGUUCUAAUCUUCUGAUGUUGCUAACACUUUGUGAGACGACGUGACCUUUCCAUAAAACCACCGCAGAUUUUCUCAUGACCAAGCAAAACAAAAGCAUUCCCAGCAGUAAAAGCAGCGCCAAUGCCAACUCUGAGAGAUCUCUGAGACUUUCCAAAAGCUUCGAGCUUUGCGGUCUAAGAAUAGCAAGAGAGAUCUUAUUCAUCGCAACGGCGCCCACCUGCUGUCUCCCUCGAGCCAGGACUUUCCUGUGCACCCACAACAGAAGAACCAGCAUCCAAUAUUAGAAUGUCAUCAUCUGAGCAGCACUGGAGAGUCAAGGUACGCAUCAAAGGGGCCAAAAGUCGAGGCGUGGGAAUCAGGUUCCACAAGCAAAGCUACCACCUGGCUCCUGUCUGUCAAGAUGUGGCUAGUGUGCUGCAAAUCUCACACAAGCGCUCCACGGUCCUCCACAAGUACCCUUCGACCUAUGAACUCUGUGAACGCCCAGCCUUGGUGCUCAUAUUGCACUUUACCAAAACCACCACACUAA